Molecule: long non-coding RNA, 377 nt
Filed under: Oryza brachyantha (malo sina)
Lineage: Eukaryota; Viridiplantae; Streptophyta; Magnoliopsida; Poales; Poaceae
Description: long non-coding RNA (OBRA_LNC001350)
Source: RNAcentral
CUUAAUAGUCGGUCGCGACUGUUGUCAUAGUCAACGACGGUUGAAACUUCCAGGAGCAGUUGCUUCGCUGAUGGGCCCUGUGAGGGGGGCAUUGUCCCUCAGUUCUUACCAACCUCAGGAUGAAAUCUACGCCUAGCGAGGCAGCUGUCCUUGUCCUCGGCACGGGUCAUUCCAUUGAUACGCUCAUCUGUGGAUGCAAGCCUUGGUACCCCCAAAAUUUGUAUGCAAGAUGAGCUUCCAUACUAGGAAGAAUGGAAGGAAAUCCUUCGAUAACACUUCUUUCUUAUUUGAAGAAAUGAUAUCCGACACGCGCGCUACAAAAGGCAGCUAGCCAAUGAAAGUAAGUGGAAAGAAUAUAGUACUUUUGUACUGACCCC